This 75-nucleotide transfer RNA is filed under the name Candidatus Woesearchaeota archaeon. RNAcentral's name for it is "tRNA-Ile". It matches the Rfam family "tRNA". Rfam says of the family: Transfer RNA (tRNA) molecules are approximately 80 nucleotides in length. Lineage: Archaea; Nanobdellati; Candidatus Woesearchaeota. The record is from RNAcentral.
GAGCCCGUGGCUUAGCCUGACUAGAGCACUCGACUGAUAAUCGAGAGGUCGCCGGUUUAAAUCCGGCCGGGCUCA